GUACGGUUGCUAUACACGAAUCGUUGGUGGCGAGAACGAAGUAGGUUCUUGCCAGACUUGGAAAACCAAACGCUUCCACUGCAUGUGUAUCGAAUAACGGAAGCCCAACGUAGCCCAACACAUCCGUGCCCUUAUUUUUCACUUUUGUUGAAAAAUUUCGAGAAUUUCACAACAGGACGUUACUAGCGGUCAGUUAGCCCAGCUGUCGGGCACUGACCAUAACCAUCGACACCUCCUGGUACUGACAGAUACCAACGCCAAACCACCCUGGUGACAUUUGCCCAUCACAACGGCUUCCGUUACCAAACUUCCCCUUGAAAAGGCUGCCUCUUUGUUUGAGUGAAGUUGAGCUUUCCAUUUU
Long non-coding RNA from Anopheles maculipalpis, 361 nucleotides. RefSeq lists it as uncharacterized. The record is from RefSeq and is a predicted model, not a curated record. The transcript has 3 exons. NCBI's taxonomy places the organism in Eukaryota, Metazoa, Arthropoda, Insecta, Diptera, Culicidae.